AGUGAGGAGAGCUUGACAAAGACUAUCAAUUCUUCCUUAAUGCUAACUACAUUGCUUCUGUUAUUAUUUUUCAUUCAAGGAAAUAUUUUUUGCUUUACCCUUAUGAUAGUAUGAUAGUAUUGAUAUCAACUUUAUUAGGGUUCAAUAAAGUCCAAUUCUUCGAUAACUACACUCAAAAUAUUGUCACUUCAUCGUUUAGCGAUUGUGAUAUCUUAGAUAAAACUAUUUGUAUGACUGUUUAUGGUGUAUACAAUGAUGUAGAAGUUACAAUAAACAUUACAAGUACUACAAGA
This is a long non-coding RNA of Exaiptasia diaphana, 293 nucleotides long. RefSeq lists it as uncharacterized. The record is from RefSeq and is a predicted model, not a curated record. Lineage: Eukaryota; Metazoa; Cnidaria; Anthozoa; Actiniaria; Aiptasiidae. The transcript is spliced from 2 exons.